Molecule: ribosomal RNA, 772 nt
Filed under: Salmonella enterica
Lineage: Bacteria; Pseudomonadati; Pseudomonadota; Gammaproteobacteria; Enterobacterales; Enterobacteriaceae
Also listed under: 3 other names
Description: partial 23S ribosomal RNA
Rfam family: Bacterial large subunit ribosomal RNA
Source: RNAcentral
GGGACACGUGGUAUCCUGUCUGAAUAUGGGGGGACCAUCCUCCAAGGCUAAAUACUCCUGACUGACCGAUAGUGAACCAGUACCGUGAGGGAAAGGCGAAAAGAACCCCGGCGAGGGGAGUGAAAAAGAACCUGAAACCGUGUACGUACAAGCAGUGGGAGCACAGGUUUACCUGUGUGACUGCGUACCUUUUGUAUAAUGGGUCAGCGACUUAUAUUCUGUAGCAAGGUUAACCGUAUAGGGGAGCCGGAGGGAAACCGAGUCUUAAUUGGGCGUUAAGUUGCAGGGUAUAGACCCGAAACCCGGUGAUCUAGCCAUGGGCAGGUUGAAGGUUGGGUAACACUAACUGGAGGACCGAACCGACUAAUGUUGAAAAAUUAGCGGAUGACCUGUGGCUGGGGGUGAAAGGCCAAUCAAACCGGGAGAUAGCUGGUUCUCCCCGAAAGCUAUUUAGGUAGCGCCUCGUGAAUUCAUCUCCGGGGGUAGAGCACUGUUUCGGCUAGGGGGCCAUCCCGGCUUACCAACCCGAUGCAAACUGCGAAUACCGGAGAAUGUUAUCACGGGAGACACACGGCGGGUGCUAACGUCCGUCGUGAAGAGGGAAACAACCCAGACCGCCAGCUAAGGUCCCAAAGUCAUGGUUAAGUGGGAAACGAUGUGGGAAGGCCCAGACAGCCAGGAUGUUGGCUUAGAAGCAGCCAUCAUUUAAAGAAAGCGUAAUAGCUCACUGGUCGAGUCGGCCUGCGCGGAAGAUGUAACGGGGCUAAACCAU